Macaca mulatta (Rhesus monkey) is the source of this 148-nucleotide unclassified non-coding RNA. It matches the Rfam family "Metazoan signal recognition particle RNA". Rfam says of the family: The signal recognition particle (SRP) is a universally conserved ribonucleoprotein. It is involved in the co-translational targeting of proteins to membranes. The eukaryotic SRP consists of a 300-nucleotide 7S RNA and six proteins: SRPs 72, 68, 54, 19, 14, and 9. Lineage: Eukaryota; Metazoa; Chordata; Mammalia; Primates; Cercopithecidae. The record is from Ensembl.
GCCGGGCGUGGUGGCGUGCGCCUGUAGUCCCAGCUACUUGGGAGGCUGAGGCAGGAGGAUCGCUUGAACCUGGGAGGCUGAGGUUGUAGUGAACCGAGAUGGCGCAACUGCACUCCAGCCUGGGUGACAGAGCGAGACUUGGUCUCAA